Molecule: non-coding RNA, 74 nt
Organism: Podarcis lilfordi (Lilford's wall lizard)
Lineage: Eukaryota; Metazoa; Chordata; Lepidosauria; Squamata; Lacertidae
Source: the annotation of a GenBank genome assembly
AGGGCUAUAGCUCAGUGGGAGAGAGCACCUGCUUUGCAUGCAGAAGGUCCCGGGUUCAAUCCCAGGUGGCCUCU